GCAAGACAUUAAACUCGCAAUUUGGCUGGCUGGGAGGCAGCUCUGCUGGAACACAGAUUUUUCUGCAGGAAACAGCAGCUCUGGAGCACAAAUGAACACCUCCUAUGAGGCAUUUAAACUUCAUAAUCCCACUUCCCAACAACAGCUGGGCCUCAAGGCUUCCGCCAGGUGUAAAGCAAGAAAUGAAAGCAAGCUGCUGUUGUAGAGAACUUUGGGGAGUGCAGCAACCUCAGCAUAUCCAUUAAGACCAAAGGCGACGUCACUCGCUGGACUCUUCUUGCUCCCACCCAGUCCUGCUGAUUUGGAGAGGAAUAUCUGGGAGCUGAAGCGAGAAACAGGAAUCUGGCAACAGCAGAGAUGGUUGAAAGACCAAGAUAAACCUUCCUAAGCCAGCAUGGAGGAUCAGUGGGCAUCCACCUGUCUCAAUUGUUGCACUCAUAUUAAUCCCAAGUCAAAGCCAGGCUACACUGCUGCUCAUAUCACCCAGCCACCUCCAGGUGCAGGCACACGGUGUAAAAACCUUCCUUGGUGGAAGUGUGUUUUCCAUUGGACACAGAAUAAACACAUUGUGAGGGAUUCUAAAUGGAAAAAACUUGGACACAGAGGCCAGUCCUUGCUCAUGGCACCCACCGUCCAUAACCCCUGCAAGUGUCUCCCUGAACACUGGAGUGUAAGAACAGCUGAAAAUUAGGAUCCAUCUCAAGUUUACACAGAAUGGAGGAUGAGGGGCCACCUGACUUUGAGGCAAGUCUAAAGAAAUUAAUGCCAUCAUCACAGAGAGAAUGUUGAGCUGUGUCUCCAAACACUGCUGCCACUGUGGGGAUUAAAAAAAAAAAACAAAACAGGAAAACACUGUGAAGGUUACUGCUACCUGAGUGAAAUAAAUAAACAAAGUAUUUAAUGAG
Molecule: long non-coding RNA, 905 nt
Organism: Passer domesticus (house sparrow)
Lineage: Eukaryota; Metazoa; Chordata; Aves; Passeriformes; Passeridae
Exons: 5
Source: RefSeq, a predicted model, not a curated record